GUAGGUGAACCUGCGGAAGGAUCAUUAACUCAAUAUAUGUGCAGUCACUUCGGUGGCUGUGCAUCAUAUUAACAAAAACCAAAAUUAACAAUCCGUGAACUAUAAACAAACAAAAUGAAUGGGUUCGCGUGUCAUUACUUCUUGAAUGCACGUACUCAGCCAAUACCAAUUCCACAUUAUUUUAACCAUAUUAACCCAUUACUGUAGCGAUCUUCGUCACAAUUCCAUUUCGGUGGUUUGUGCUUGGAGCGUACUAAAACAAGAGCAUGUUAUUACUUAAUUGAAUGCAUGCACCAAUUUAUUCUAAAACAGAGAAAUACAACUCUUAACAAUGGAUAUCUUGGCUCUC
This 349-nucleotide unclassified non-coding RNA is filed under the name rhizosphere metagenome. Its description in RNAcentral is "partial ribosomal RNA internal transcribed spacer region". The record is from RNAcentral.